Molecule: long non-coding RNA, 382 nt
Filed under: Rattus norvegicus (Norway rat)
Lineage: Eukaryota; Metazoa; Chordata; Mammalia; Rodentia; Muridae
Description: long non-coding RNA NONRATT003337
Source: RNAcentral
AAUGUCCUUUCACUCUUUAGACUGGAGCUCUACUCUGUGUGGAAAGUGGGUCCAGGGACAGGAAGAUGGUGGGCGAUGUGAUUGGAGCCCAGGCCUACGCCUCCACUGCCAAGUGCCUGAACAUCAGCUCCCUGAUCUUCAGUGUCCUCAUGGUCAUUAUCUGCAUCAUCAUUUUCUCUACCACCUCUGCGGUAGUCUUUCAGUCGCUUUCACAAAGAACGCCACAUUCUGGAUUCUAGCUGCCCUGUGUCCCACGGUCCACAUCUGGCCCUCCCCCUGCCUGAGGCUGAGGGCUUGACCCUUUACCCUAUGUGUAUGCAAAUGUUACCUUCGUAUAUCUGUCCACAGUGGAGUCAAUAAAGUACACUUGGUGGCAACUCUG